This 793-nucleotide ribosomal RNA is filed under the name uncultured bacterium. RNAcentral's name for it is "bacterial SSU rRNA". It matches the Rfam family "Bacterial small subunit ribosomal RNA", at positions 8 to 796 of the family's 1533-position model. The record is from RNAcentral.
AGAGUUUGAUCAUGGCUCAGGAUGAACGCUGGCGGCGUGUCUAAGGCAUGCAAGUCGUUUGCCACACCAUGUAGAGACGUAAAAUUUUACGUCUCUACAUGGUGUGCAAGGCAAACGGGAGAGUAACACAUUGGUAACCUACCCUGAGGUCGAGAAUAAUCCCGCGAAAGCGGGAAUAAUACUCGAUAAUAGUGGGGGGACAUAAGUCAUUCCCACUUAAAGCUCCGGCACCUCGGGAGGGGCCUAUGGCCUAUCAGCUUGUUGGUGGGGUAAAAGCCCACCAAGGCUUUGACGGGUAGCGGGUGUGAGAGCAUGGCCCGUCUCACUGGGACUGAGACACUGCCCAGACUCCUACGGGAGGCUGCAGUCGAGAAUCUUCCUCAAUGGCCGCAAGGCUGAAGGAGCGACGCCGCGUGCGGGAAGAAACCCUUCGGGGUGUAAACCGCUUUUUUCUCCGACGAAAUUCUGACGGUAGGAGAAGAAUAAGGAGCUGCUAACCUCGUGCCAGCAGCAGCGGUAAUACGAGGGCUCCAAGCGUUAUCCGGAUUUAUUGGGCGUAAAGGGUCCGUAGGCGGCCCGACACAUCUCCUGUUAAAUCCUCCGGCUCAACCGGAGGGCUGCGGGAGAGAUGGCCGGGCUAGAGGCCGGGAGAGGCGAGCGGAAUUGCCGGUGUAGGGGUUAAAUCCGUUAAUAUCGGCAAGAACACCAAAUGCGAAAGCAGCUCGCUGGAACGCGCCUGACGCUCAGGGACGAAAGCGUGGGGAGCGAAUGGGAUUAGAUACCCCAGUAGUCC